RNAcentral lists this ribosomal RNA (208 nucleotides) under uncultured bacterium. Its description in RNAcentral is "partial 16S ribosomal RNA". It matches the Rfam family "Bacterial small subunit ribosomal RNA", at positions 568 to 775 of the family's 1533-position model. The record is from RNAcentral.
CACGUAGGCGGAUUGGUAAGUCAGAUGUGAAAUCCCGGAGCUCAACUCCGGAACUGCAUUUGAUACUGCCAGUCUUGAGUGAGGUAGAGGGGAGUGGAAUUCCCGGUGUAGAGGUGAAAUUCGUAGAUAUCGGGAGGAACACCAGAGGCGAAGGCGACCCCCUGGGCCUCUACUGACGCUGAGGUGCGAAAGCGUGGGGAGCAAACAG